AACAGUGCUCAUAGCCUCGGAGAGUUUGGUGCAGGAGGCAGACAUUUAAGCAGUCAACUAUGACACAAUGCAGAGAUUAAAGUGCGGUCUCGCUCCAGAGAAUAAGAGCUGUGAAAGGAGCCUCGAGAUGUGGGGGCGGCAGACAGAGCCUGCACCUCGUGGAGCAGCGGAGGCAUGAUGGAUCCUUGCUGUGACUGGUGCCUGGACAUCCCUGCCAACCACCUUGGAGAAUGGCACCUUCUGAGUGUGCCUGAACCACUCUUCUCCUUGGCUACCACUCUGAGUACUAUCCCUAGAGACUACUGGCCACACACAUCCACAGUCUCAAUGUCCA
Molecule: long non-coding RNA, 334 nt
Filed under: Homo sapiens (human)
Lineage: Eukaryota; Metazoa; Chordata; Mammalia; Primates; Hominidae
Description: non-protein coding lnc-COA1-4:1
Source: RNAcentral